This 494-nucleotide ribosomal RNA is filed under the name uncultured bacterium. RNAcentral's name for it is "partial 16S ribosomal RNA". It matches the Rfam family "Bacterial small subunit ribosomal RNA", at positions 28 to 507 of the family's 1533-position model. The record is from RNAcentral.
GACGAACGCUGGCGGCGUGCUUAACACAUGCAAGUCGAACGGAAAGGCCUGCUUUCCCUUGUGGUUUGCGGGUACUCGGGUGGCGAACGGGUGAGUAACACGGGAGUGAUCUGCCCCCAACCUGGGUAUAAGCCUGGGAAACGGGGUCUAAUUCCCGAUAGAACUGCAGGGGGGUGCCUGUGGUGGAAAACGAUUUUUUAGGGGUUGGGGUUGGGCUCGCGGCCUAUCAGCUUGUUGGUGGGGUAAUGGCCUACCAAGGCGGCGACGGGUAGCCGGCCUGAGAGGGUGGACGGCCACAUUGGGACUGAGAUACGGCCCAGACUCCUACGGGAGGCAGCAGUGGGGAAUAUUGCACAAUGGGCGGAAGCCUGAUGCAGCGACGCCGCGUGGGGGAUGACGGCCUUCGGGUUGUAAACUCCUUUCGACCGCGAGGAAGCCACCUGGUUGGAAGGGUGGUGACGGUAGUGGUAGAAGAAGCACCGGCUAACUACGUG